UGUAUUCUAGAAUCAUGGAGACAGAUUCGUAAGUCUAGUCACGGGAGAAAUUCUAAGGAGGGGCCCCAAGUUCCAGAAUCAUCCCGUUUUCUCCUCUGCCUCACUUUGAGACUUAGACUCCUCUGCCUCACCUGUGAGAGGAAGGAUAGUGCUCCUUGUUGCUCCGCUAUGGUGAGGAAGUGAGACUGUGCCUUUAACACAACUUGUGUAAUGCCUGCUACAGAGUGUUUUCUAGAGUUGGAGAAAUAGGAAGAUUUUAUAAUGUUACUGCAGGAAUGAUUGGUAUAAGCUGAAUUCUCUUUUCACCUGUUUUAGUGGAGAUGUCUCUCACUUGCUACCUCUUCGGCCCCACUCUGUGAAUCUCAGUCUAGCAACGGCGCUGCCAUUAUGGAGCUCAAAACAAGAUCUGGAAGCACUGAGAGAAAUCUCAAAAUAAUUCCACCACAGGACAGUGGUUUCCUGAACACGAACGAUAUCAAGGCACUACCCACUCAAGCUGAGGGUCUGUUUCUUGCAUGACCUCUGAAUUACUCCAAAUAUAAUCUGGCCAGCACUAACACAGUUAGGGAAGCAGAGAACGAUAGUGGCUGAGUAAGAUGCUCCAGUGGUUGUCUCUUCAGAGAACCAAUUUGAAUCAUUAUUGAAGCACCAAGUCUCACCUUCACAAGAACAAUGAAGGCCAGAAAUCAUUGGUCACAAGCUGGUGUUGUGGCACGGAGGAUUAAGCUACUGCCUGUCACACCGGCCUUCAAUCUCAGAGUGCUGGUUUGAGUCCCAGUUGGCUGCUCUUCUUCUGACCCAGCUCCUUAUUACUGCACCUGGGAAAGCAGUGGAUGACAGGCCCUGCUGUGCCCCUGCUAUCCACACGGGAGACCUUGAUGGAGUUCUGGGCUCCUGGCUUUGGCCUGGAUUAUCCCCUGAUAUUGUGGCCAUUUGGGGAGUAAACUGGUGGAUGCAAGAUCUCUCUUUCUGUCUCUUCCUCUCUCUCUCAGUCUGCCUUUCAAAUAAAUAAGUAAACAAAUUUUAAAAAAUCAUUGGUCCCCAAAAUGUACAAAAAUCUCUUCUAGAUGUUAUGAUUCCAACUAAUAAAAACUUCACUUAUAAUUUCAAAAAUGGGAUAGAAAUUUACAGAAACAAAACAAUAAAAAUAAGUUUUUAUAGACAUUAUUAAUAUAAUGACUUUUUCUGUUAUUCAUACAAUAGGAACCACAAAAAUAUGUUUCUGAAUAUUAGAUCUUGAACUGGUCUUUCAGAAGGGAUUAGAUUCAUAUAACCAAGUAAGCAGGGGACAUGUGCAGCAAGGAAACCACAUUAGCAAACACAGGGACUAGAUAUAACGUGGUUCAGGGAACAGGGAGAAAACCAAACUGUAGGGUCUCCACAGAUGAUUAAUGGGAACUCAGUUCAAAGAGGGCAAGUGUAAUGCUUUUAAAAUUUAAUCAGUGCUCUCACCCAAUGAUAGUGAAGGUUAUGACUUUUUAGAAAUCUUUAAGAAAGUAGAGAAGUAGCAUGGUCAUACCCAACAGAGCUUCUUGGUCAUUAAUGUGAGCACUGACCCCUUGGAGAUCCUGUUAAAAUGCAAAUUCUGGUUCAGAAGUUUUCAAGUUGUGCCUGAGAUUUUACCUCCCUAAUAAGUUCCCAGAUGACGCCAAGACUGCCAAUUCUGGGUAAACCUCGAAUAACAACACUGAAUAGACAGACUCAGCUGUAGAACCUGGAAAUGAAGAAACUAAUUUAAAGUCUAAUGCUGAAAUUCUAAUACAAACAACAAAAAAAGUUAGUGACAGUGAGGAUGGAGGUAAAGCAUAGUUGUCAGAAAUGUUAACAAGGAUGAAGUGGUAAGUUAGAUAAUUUGUCAGAAUUGGGGAGAAUCACUGAAAAAACAUGCAUCCAUUUGCUUUUCUGUUUGUGGGAUUGAAAGCAUUUUAAUUUGAACAUAGAUUCUGGGGAGCAGCAUGGUUUGGAAGAAACAGCUGGUAUCUUUUUAGACAUUAUACUAAAUAUUAUGCCCAGACAUCCAGUGGGGUGAAAUGUGCCCAGGUCAUAUAGAUUGAGGAUACGAAAAUGAAGAAACCUGAGGAUUUCUGUUUUGAGAUAAUAAUUUAAGCUAGGGGGCUUCUGAAAUAAUCCAAGAAAAAUAAGUCACAAAGAAUGAAAGAGAAAUUAAAGAUAAUUCCUCUGUUUAAGAGAUAACAAAAGGAAAAAGAACAAUUAUCAAUGCAAUUGGCAGGUAUAGUUAGAAAUAGGGAGGAAGAAUUAACAAACAGCACAAAGUAAAGGGGUAGAAGUCAUUGAGAUGUCAAUUAGAAUCAGGGAAGCUAGGAGGCUUUUGAACUUGGGAGCCAGAAUAUUGUCAAUUACCUGAAAUCUGCAAGGCAGAUACCUUGUUUUCGUGAGAAUG
Oryctolagus cuniculus (rabbit) is the source of this 2401-nucleotide non-coding RNA. The record is from RefSeq and is a predicted model, not a curated record. Lineage: Eukaryota; Metazoa; Chordata; Mammalia; Lagomorpha; Leporidae.